RNAcentral lists this ribosomal RNA (650 nucleotides) under Bacillus cereus. RNAcentral's name for it is "bacterial SSU rRNA". It matches the Rfam family "Bacterial small subunit ribosomal RNA", at positions 80 to 713 of the family's 1533-position model. Lineage: Bacteria; Bacillati; Bacillota; Bacilli; Caryophanales; Bacillaceae. The record is from RNAcentral.
UUGCUCUUAUGAAGUUAGCGGCGGACGGGUGAGUAACACGUGGGUAACCUGCCCAUAAGACUGGGAUAACUCCGGGAAACCGGGGCUAAUACCGGAUAACAUUUUGAACCGCAUGGUUCGAAAUUGAAAGGCGGCUUCGGCUGUCACUUAUGGAUGGACCCGCGUCGCAUUAGCUAGUUGGUGAGGUAACGGCUCACCAAGGCAACGAUGCGUAGCCGACCUGAGAGGGUGAUCGGCCACACUGGGACUGAGACACGGCCCAGACUCCUACGGGAGGCAGCAGUAGGGAAUCUUCCGCAAUGGACGAAAGUCUGACGGAGCAACGCCGCGUGAGUGAUGAAGGCUUUCGGGUCGUAAAACUCUGUUGUUAGGGAAGAACAAGUGCUAGUUGAAUAAGCUGGCACCUUGACGGUACCUAACCAGAAAGCCACGGCUAACUACGUGCCAGCAGCCGCGGUAAUACGUAGGUGGCAAGCGUUAUCCGGAAUUAUUGGGCGUAAAGCGCGCGCAGGUGGUUUCUUAAGUCUGAUGUGAAAGCCCACGGCUCAACCGUGGAGGGUCAUUGGAAACUGGGAGACUUGAGUGCAGAAGAGGAAAGUGGAAUUCCAUGUGUAGCGGUGAAAUGCGUAGAGAUAUGGAGGAACACCAGU